GACAGAGGGUGCAAACGUUGCUCGGAAUCACUGGGCGUAAAGGGCGUGUAGGCGGGAAGGAUAGUCAGAUGUGAAAGCCCUGGGCUCAACCCAGGAACUGCAUUUGAAACUCCCUUUCUUGAGUGUCGGAGAGGAAAGCGGAAUUCCUGGUGUAGAGGUGAAAUUCGUAGAUAUCAGGAGGAACACCGAUGGCGAAGGCAGGUCUCUGGGCUGACACUGACGCUCAUGCACGAAAGCGUGGGGAGCAAACAGG
Molecule: ribosomal RNA, 253 nt
Filed under: uncultured bacterium
Lineage: Bacteria
Description: partial 16S ribosomal RNA
Rfam family: Bacterial small subunit ribosomal RNA
Source: RNAcentral